This 426-nucleotide ribosomal RNA is filed under the name uncultured bacterium. Its description in RNAcentral is "bacterial SSU rRNA". It matches the Rfam family "Bacterial small subunit ribosomal RNA", at positions 355 to 773 of the family's 1533-position model. The record is from RNAcentral.
UGGGGAAUAUUGGACAAUGGGCGAAAGCCUGAUCCAGCCAUGCCGCGUGUGUGAAGAAGGUCUUCGGAUUGUAAAGCACUUUAAGUUGGGAGGAAGGGCAGUAAGCGAAUACCUUGCUGUUUUGACGUUACCGACAGAAUAAGCAACGGCUAACUCUGUGCCAGCAGCCGCGGUAAUACAGAGGGUGCAAGCGUUAAUCGGAAUUACUGGGCGUAAAGCGCGCGUAGGUGGUUUGUUAAGUUGGAUGUGAAAGCCCCGGGCUCAACCUGGGAACUGCAUCCAAAACUGGCAAGCUAGAGUACAGUAGAGGGUGGUGGAAUUUCCUGUGUAGCGGUGAAAUGCGUAGAUAUAGGAAGGAACACCAGUGGCGAAGGCGACCACCUGGACUGAUACUGACACUGAGGUGCGAAAGCGUGGGGAGCAAAC